GAUCGAACAACACAAAACAUAGUUCGUUAGAUUUUAUCGAAUAGAUAAUUAGAAACAAUAUUUAAGAGAAUAUAAGUUAUAAAUAUUUAAUUCAGAAGGUUAAAAAAGACGAAACAGGUGUAAAACAAAGAUAAUUUAGAGCGUAAAGUCAAGUGAAUUGAAGACAAAAAGAGCGGAGUGAACUAUAUAUGUGACGUGAUUUGGUCACGAUCAGCGAUGGAGAAACAGUGGCGUUGGUUUACCUGGAGUUGAAAACGCAGUUCUUGAACACAGAUUUCGACAGAAAUUCAGAGGAUCUAAGAGAAUUGACGGAGGAUAGAUGGAUCAAGUUAGCGUUAAGCAGUUGGUCAGGAUUUUGCAAUUUUUGGAAGGGAACAACGUCAUCUUCAUCGUUAGGACCCGUGGUUGUAGCCAUGAUUUUAAUGAAGACUUGUAGCGGUGCCCUGACAUGGAUAUAAUUUUUUGAGCCUCAGAACCAGCCUCACUUAUGCCGAGUCAUGACUGUCAGGACUGUUGCAUGGAAACAACAGGUUAUCAUCAGAAAGUUCUAUAGAUCUAACUCUGCCUCCAUUUCUUCGCUUCCAAUAUCAAAGUCAUCGUAUGAAUUCGCCAUGUUGCAGAAGUUGCAGUUUUGGAUCACAAAAUUUUCAGUGAACAGCUCUAUGUUGGAGGCCCUCAGAAGAUGAAUAAUUUGUUGACAACACUAUAAAUAAAAGGAGUUCGAAAGUAAUGAACAGGUGUAUUAAAUUGUGGGCUACUUAUCAUGCAUCCAUCUUUACCCAUUUGUACAAGGAGUACCUUAAUGGUUUUCAAUCGUCAGCACCUGCUAAAGUGCAAUGUUGUUGUUGUUUAAAAAAAGAAAGAAAAAGAAUCUUUAUAGAACUGUGUUACUACAUGCAUCUCCCUAUAGGGUGUGAAGUGCGAAACGAAACGAAACAAAAUCUACCGAAACGAAACGAAACCCAACGAAACGAAACAAAAGGAAAUCUAACGAAACUGUAUAUCCGAACUCGUUAAUUGUAAUAAAAAUGGUAUGGACGAGCAUCUCGUGGUCCCUGUGAAAGUUAUCCCAUAUAUUUA
Long non-coding RNA from Ostrea edulis (European flat oyster), 1080 nucleotides. RefSeq lists it as uncharacterized. The transcript has 3 exons. NCBI's taxonomy places the organism in Eukaryota, Metazoa, Mollusca, Bivalvia, Ostreida, Ostreidae. The record is from RefSeq and is a predicted model, not a curated record.